UACGUAGGGUGCAAGCGUUGUCCGGAAUUAUUGGGCGUAAAGGGCUCGUAGGCGGUUUGUCGCGUCGGGAGUGAAAACUCAGGGCUUAACCCUGAGCCUGCUUCCGAUACGGGCAGACUAGAGGUAUGCAGGGGAGAAUGGAAUUCCUGGUGUAGCGGUGAAAUGCGCAGAUAUCAGGAGGAACACCGGUGGCGAAGGCGGUUCUCUGGGCAUUACCUGACGCUGAGGAGCGAAAGUGUGGGGAGCGAACAGG
Molecule: ribosomal RNA, 253 nt
Filed under: uncultured bacterium
Lineage: Bacteria
Description: partial 16S ribosomal RNA
Rfam family: Bacterial small subunit ribosomal RNA
Source: RNAcentral